GGUUUGUUUAGAUCAUGGAUACCCAAACCCGGCCCUGAAGGGCUGGUAAAGUUGGUUUUAUGUUCGCACAUUUGUUCAGUGUCAACUUGUGAUAUGUUCCCUAUAUUGUUUACCAUGGUACUUUAAAUAUUCGGUCAGAAAUCACAUGUAAAUAUGACAUCAAAACAACAUUAACAUCAUUUAUUUGACUGUAAACAAUGUUGAACUUUGAUAGUCAUUGGCUGAUAAUAUGAUUUCACUAUUUAAAAUGUGAAAAUAAUAUUUUUGUGAAGUUUUAUUAUUUAGGAGAAAACUAACUUUAUACCUUAAUGCCCCCCAGGACCGAGUUUGGGCACCCCUGGUUUAGAUGAUUCGUAUUGUGUUCAUAUAUUUUAGUCCAACCACAUCCGAACACUUUCUCAGUGCUCUCAGUUCACUACCAUGGUUCGGAUAAGCAUUCACACUUCUUCAAAUGAACUAACAGAGCAAUAGCUGUUUAAAUUUAUCAAGAAAGCUUUUUUGAGUUUGCAUUAAUCCCUUGUUUUAGGAUUAGACUUCAAAACUAAUAUACAAAUACAUCUGCAAAGUUUUUAAUUGGUUAUCCGUAGAAACCACAAUCUUGCUGCUGGGCUUUAUAUCAGAACAGGUGCAAUUAAACCCAACACUGGUAAAAGACAUCUAAUAAUCUCUUCUUUUUUCAUCCAAUGCUAUUUUCUCCCUUGAUUAAUAAUUAUCAAUUUGAGCCUCAUCUCAUAAACAGAUGGCACAGCUUGAAGAGCAGAAUUAAACGGCCAGCUAGUAUCUCCAAGAUGCUCGAGUAAAUCCAAAUCCCAAGACAACAGCAGAUGCACUUAUCAUGCGAUGGCAAGCAUGAA
This 854-nucleotide long non-coding RNA is filed under the name Danio rerio (zebrafish). RNAcentral's name for it is "si:ch211-79k12.3-001". Lineage: Eukaryota; Metazoa; Chordata; Actinopteri; Cypriniformes; Danionidae. The record is from RNAcentral.